GGGGGCGAAAGGUAUCGAUUGGAUAUAGAAAAUUACAUUAGCAAGUAGUAGGUGGUAUGGUGGCUACUAUAAAACCAUACUAAACGCUUUAACUGGCGCAAAUCAGUUAGCCCUUGCUGCUUAAUAACUAAGCAGUAACAGAUUGCGAUUGCGAUGAAGGUAGCGGUCAAAAAUCUGUCGUUAAAUCCUUCGGCUCCCGUUAGUGGUGACGGUUAACGGGCCAAGAUGUGUCACUAGGAAUGGUGAAUGUUGUUCAUUCUUUAUCCAUAUCCGAAUCUUUAUGAAUGAAAUAAACUUGUAGAAAAUGUAAUUAGAAAUAUCGCAAGACGGGGCUUCGAUGCCCCCGCCUCCACUG
Molecule: transfer-messenger RNA, 355 nt
Filed under: bacterium
Lineage: Bacteria
Rfam family: transfer-messenger RNA
About the family: Bacterial tmRNA, also known as 10Sa RNA or SsrA, is named for its dual tRNA and mRNA-like properties.
Source: RNAcentral